RNAcentral lists this ribosomal RNA (301 nucleotides) under uncultured bacterium. RNAcentral's name for it is "partial 16S ribosomal RNA". It matches the Rfam family "Bacterial small subunit ribosomal RNA", at positions 509 to 807 of the family's 1533-position model. The record is from RNAcentral.
CAGCAGCCACGGGAAUACGUAGGUGGCAAGCGUUGUCCGGAAUUAUUGGGCGUAAAGGGCUCGCAGGCGGUUUCUUAAGUCUGAUGUGAAAGCCCCCGGCUCAACCGGGGAGGGUCAUUGGAAACUGGGAAACUUGAGUGCAGAAGAGGAGAGUGGAAUUCCACGUGUAGCGGUGAAAUGCGUAGAGAUGUGGAGGAACACCAGUGGCGAAGGCGACUCUCUGGUCUGUAACUGACGCUGAGGGGCGAAAGCGUGGGGAGCGAACAGGAUUAGAUACCCGUGUAGUCCCUGUCUCUUAUAC